This is a long non-coding RNA of Herpailurus yagouaroundi (jaguarundi), 4146 nucleotides long. RefSeq lists it as uncharacterized. The transcript has 2 exons. NCBI's taxonomy places the organism in Eukaryota, Metazoa, Chordata, Mammalia, Carnivora, Felidae. The record is from RefSeq and is a predicted model, not a curated record.
UCUAAGAAAAAUGGGGUUUAUUGGCUAAUGUUACUGAAAAUUCAGAUGCAUAGCUGGAUAGUGGGCCUCAGAACGGUGUCUUAAGGACCCAGCGUCUCGCCAGCUCUCCAGCUAGCUCUUGCCUACCUUCACAGGUUGCACGUGUAUGGCGAAACAGCAAUUGCAGUCCCGGACACCUUCUGCCAAGGUCUGGGAACAUAGAGGGAAGAAAAAAAGAGUGCAUCUCUCUCAGAAGUCCCAUGCACCCCAGCUUGCACCUUGGCAGUUCUGACAAGGUCUGGGCCUCCUUCUCUCGCUCAUCUAGACCAGGCGUCUCUGACACUCCCCCUGGGCUGGCCUGACCCCCAUGUUGAGCCUGGAAUGGAGACUGGGAGUGCCAUCUGGGAUGGGGGUGGGGACAGAGGGGAAGGAAACUUGAAGUCAAGUCAGGGGAUUGUUACCAGGUGAUGAGAUGUCCCUAGCUUUUCCAGCACAGCAUCCCUAGUCAGCGCCACAUGCCUUACAGGUAUGUGCUCUAUGAUUCUGCAUUGUAUGUGUGAUUGUAGACUAUUUGAAUGGAAAAUAAUAUUUGGCAGCAAGGUACCAUCUCAUUUCUUACCUUAUAGGCAAUUUAAUUUUUUAUGCAUUUAUGAGGACUUUUUCACUCUCAGCAGGAGUAACUAAUGGAGUUCACAAAGCAUUUAAAUGGCCUACCUCCUGCACUGAAGGCUGCUCUGGAUAGCACGGAACUGCACUCAACCUGAUUAGGACUCCCACGGAGGUGCAGCCUUCCAGAUGCAACUCGAUUUCAUUUUUGCACGGCGCCUUUCCAGCUGAAGGCUUCAAGUUUGACAGCUUUAGAAAAUACUGGAUUAUGGUAACACCAUCUAUGUAGGACAUGAUUUCCCCAGAAGCUCAGAGAUUCGAGCACACUCGACAGCCUUGGUGUUAUAUUAAAUACAGUCUCCUGGGAAACAUCCGGCUGAAGGGCUUGACUGGAAGAAUUACCAAACCUCAUCCUUGUGCCUUCUGGCUGGGAUCCUUCUUUGCUGUAUGAACUGAGUAGACUCAGUAGAGAAACCAACAAGCUCCCUCCUCAAAAGCAUCCGGGAUCCUCUGAAGGAGCCAUCAUAUAGCGAUGAGUAGGUCUCGGAACAGAUUUUUCCUGAGUGACUGGAUCCCCUGGGAGGCCACUCAGUUGCUUUAACAUGUGUUAAUGAGACUGGUGAUCCCCUCCCGAGCCAGCUACUCAUUUAUAGGACUCCAUCUAGUUCCUCAAAGUACUUAACAUACCUGUUUGGGUCAGGUACCUACGUAGAGAAAAGCUGCUUUCAUGAUCACGAGCACUUGGGUGCUGCCACAAAUCGGCACGGGUAUCCGGUGGUGGGUAAACAGCUCCAUGCAAAAAUAUGCCUCUAGCUCCCUUGCUCAAAGUAACUGGGCACAGAGGCCAAGAGAUUCAUUCAUUCGUGUAAAGAACAGUUCCUUAUUUUUCCCCUGAGAGGCAAAACCACCACAAUAAGUCCUACUAUAUGUAGAAAACAAAUUUAUUUUUAAAAAAAGAAAAAAAACAAAUUCCUGAGUCAACAGAUUCCAAGUGCCUGGAUGCUGUCCAAAUGAACCUGGCAGUAACACAGGCAUGGAUGAAAACAGUGUCUUAGGAGUCUGCCUUCUCUGGUCCUCCUGAGUAUUUUUAUUCUUUGUAUUGGGAGAUAAAAAUAGGGGUUGACAUCUCAAGGUGAGAGGAGAGAGAGAGAGAGAGCAGCAUGUGUUCUUCAAAAGACCCAACAAGAUAAUAGAUUUUUUAAAAAGCUGUUGCUGAGUGUAACGUACUUAGUUUCAAAGGGCUUUUUUUUUUUUUUUAAAUAAAAUCUUUGCAAGCAAUAGUAAAGAAAUCUGGAACCCCCCAGGGUGACCAAAGUUAGAAUCCUAUCAGGGAUUUAAAUCUAAUUACUAGCCUGAAAGUAAAGAAGAGAGAGAACGGGCCAAGUGUCAGCCUGGAAAACAAUAAUAGCCAUGACAGUGUUCAGCAGCCCAGUCAUUAGUGCCUUGAAGGAUAGUUCAGCACAUUUAUUCUUACUCUUGAAAGAGAGCCACAGAGGUUUCUGGUUUCCUGUUCGUAGUUUCUUCUGUGGAGUAGCGAGGUUUCCUCUGCUUCUACACACCGUGCCAUCCAAGCACCUGGUAGAACAGGCACUUAGAGGAGAGGCCAUGUGCAGAGUCAGAGCACCCUGCACUUCACCAGCUGUGUGGCCCCGUGCAAGGGAACUCACUUGUCAGUGCCUAUGUGUCUUCAUCUGCAAGAUAAAAAUGAAACGUGAAGAUUGAAAUAGAUCACGUAUGGGAAGUACUCAGCACAGCACCCGACCCACCGGGAGUCCCCAGGAACUGUAAACUAUUUCUUUUUCCUCUUCUUAUUAAACACUGGCCAAGGAGGAAUUCCCCAUCCUGGAAUGCAAAGAUGGAAGAGGAGGAUCCCGUCCCUAUAGCACAGGGAGGGUCUUUGGAGCCCUACUCCUGCCACUUUUACUCAGCUCAUCCAUUUAUGCAUUCGUGUCAGUGGCUGAUUCUCAAGACUUCUCGAAAUGUGUUAAGAGCAGGCCCUCCAAUCACUCUAGAUAGAAGACUUAGAUUAAGAACUUAGAGCUGCCUUUAGGCUAAUAAACCAGCAGAAACUAAAUCCAAGUAUAUAGGAGAGAAUAUGAAUGUUGAAAAUAUUGAGUCCUGGUAAAUAUUAUUUGACAAAUGCAAGGAUUGCAGUCGGGGGAUUUUGAUAAGGCUUAGGUUAUACUGUAAUCAGCCCAUUCUCUAAAAUGAUGAGAGUCUUCGCUCCAUUCUGGGUGGCUGUAGAAAGCAAAAAAGGCAGCUGGAGACAUGCUGUGAAUUGGAAGUAGCUUCUAUUUGCUUCUUCUCCGCCUACUCAUAUGGCCAUGGAUGAUGCCCAGUUCAAGGGGGAAUCAGACGCCAAGUGAGGCUGCACGGCCUGUCCUUUGAGCAGAGUGUGGAAACUUGCUUGAGACAGUGCUUGGUUAAAGGCCCCAGAUACAUCUGAAGACCUGGUUUUCUAUUAAGCCUUGAAUGCUUACAGUAUUAUACACUCUCCAUAGAGAGCGAAUCUGAGCUGUCCUAUGUCAAUGUUUUAGUUCCUGACUCCUAACUUGGCAAGAGAUGUGUGGUGAAUCAAUAUGUCACAGUCUGUUAAAAGAUGCUUCGCUGUUUAUGUUUGUUGGGUGUUUAGAAAUGCAAUAACUAUACUGGCGUCUUUUCUUAGUCUGUCAUCUGUUUCCGAGGGAACAGAAAGUGAUGCAGAGGGCCGAUCACAGCACCAUAAUUACACCAAGAAGUGGGCGCUAGUAUCCUCCAUUAGGAACAUUGCUAUUCCAUGCUACCGGAUGAAGAACAUUUUAUAGACACCUCCCUCUCGUUUCUUCCUCCAAACCAAUCUCUCUCUUUGUUCCACCCAAAAUAAAAGUACAACGUGAAUUGUGCCACUAUCAAUGAAUUUUCGGUGGGAAGGAUGUUCUGAGCAGUGAAAAAUAUAAAUAAAUUGGUUCUAUGCUGAAAUUAAUUGUGGAACCAGGAAGAUAAACACAGCACAACUAAUUGUAUCCAAGCAAGAUUAAUAAGAAUGGUGUUCUAUGGAAAGGGAAAAAAAUCCACAGCAUUAAUGGAAAUUAAGCAAUAUCUCAGUGAAACUAGUAAAUUAAAAAAUAUAUAUAUAUAUAUAUAUAUAUAUAUAUAUAUGUUUAAUUAAAAGCAAGACACUCUAUUAUGUCUUCUUUCUUACUGAGCUGCUUAAAUUAAGAAAGUCUAAUGUUAAGUGAGAAAAAUCAACUCAGGACACCUUGUCAUCUGCAUUUAAUUGAGACUUCUGUGUCUCAUACCAACUUUUAAGACAGGUCAUGGCAAUGGUGAAUUUAGGAGUCUCAUGUGAACUUCCCACGAUGUGCAAUUUACAGGUUUCUGUAUCUCCAGUUUGGACAUAGAAAUAUCCCAGGAAUAUUGUGACUGUAAAGUCACUUCCCCUAUUUUUUCUCUGUGAUUUUGAUGAAAACAUACCAUAUCGGACGAAUUAAUAUAAGCAAAGCUUAUAUCUACAGCUAUAGCUAAAAUUAGAAGUAUGUUGCUUUCUGAUAAUAAAAGCUUUACAGAAAUGUUUUGCAUUUA